CCCAUCCCCAUAUGUCCCAUCCCCAUAGAUCCCCAUCCCCAUAGGUCCCCAUCCCCAUAGAUCCCCAUAGAUCCCUAUAGUUCCCCAUAGAUCCCCAUCCCUGUAGGUCCCCAUAGAUCCCUAUAGUUCCCCAUAGAUCCCCAUCCCCGUAGGUCUCCAUAGAUCCCCAUAGGUCCCCAUCUCCAUAUGUCCCCAUCCCCAUAUGUCCUCAUCCCCAUAGAUCCCCAUAUGCCCCCACCCCCAUAGAUCCCCCCAUUCCCAUAGGUCCCCAUAGACCCCCAUAGUCCCCAUAGGUCCCUAUAGGUCCCCAUUCCCAUAUGCCCCCGUGCCCAUAGGUCCCCAUCUCCAUAGAUCCCCAUAUGCCCCCACCCCAUAGAUCCCCACCCCCAUAGAUCCCCAUCCCCAUAGAUCCCCAUAGAUCCCCACCCCCAUACGCCCCCACCCCCAUAUGUCCCUAUGGGAACACUGGGGCUCACCAAACCCCCAUGGGUGACACCCCCCCUUACCCCCCUCUCCUUCUGUCCCUAUACUGUCCCCAGAGAUCGAUGAGGACCGGCUCCCCAACGCUCUGCUGAAGGUAAGUGAUGGCCUGGGGGUCCCCAACACCCCGAGGUGCCCCCACCCCACAUCACCCCCCAUCUCUGUUUGCUUUGCAGUCGGGUCUGGCCAUGUCCCCCAGGCAGAGGAAGAAGGUUUACUGCACCACCCCCACCGUCAAAGAGCUGCAGAUGAUGGUGGAGCAUCACCUGUGCAAGCAGGCCAGGGGUGAGGAUGACGAUGAUGUUCCCAUUGGAGCCCAGGAGCUCAGCACAACCUGCUGCCACCACGGGGACCCCGAGCACAACCACAGCCCCGGGGGCAGCUGCCCAUUGACCCCAGCUCAACCCACAGCACAGGGCAGCCCAGAGCCUGGGGACAGUGAGUCGUUGUCACUAUUGUCCCCCUAUUGUGGGGCUUGAAGGGGGUUGGGGGGUGUUGGGGGUCUGGGCUGAGCCACGUUGGUUUGUGCCCAUAGGGGAUGAGAGGCAAAGUGCGGGUGAGGAGGGCGCCCAUAUAGAACCAGGGGGAAAGGGAGCUGCUGGCUGCGUGUAGGUACGUGAUGGGGGGC
This is a long non-coding RNA of Coturnix japonica (Japanese quail), 1108 nucleotides long. NCBI's taxonomy places the organism in Eukaryota, Metazoa, Chordata, Aves, Galliformes, Phasianidae. The record is from Ensembl.